This 482-nucleotide ribosomal RNA is filed under the name uncultured soil bacterium. RNAcentral's name for it is "bacterial SSU rRNA". It matches the Rfam family "Bacterial small subunit ribosomal RNA", at positions 26 to 502 of the family's 1533-position model. The record is from RNAcentral.
AGGAUGAACGCUAGCGGCAGGCUUAAUACAUGCAAGUCGUGGGGCAGCAGGUCUGUAGCAAUACAGAUGCUGGCGACCGGCAAACGGGUGCGGAACACGUACGCAACUUUCCUUCAAGCGGGGAAUAGCCCAGGGAAACUUGGAUUAAUACCCCAUAAUUUUAUGAAGUGGCAUCACUUUAUAACUAAAGCUCCGGCACUUGAAGAUGGGCGUGCGGCUGAUUAGGUAGUUGGCGGGGUAACGGCCCACCAAGCCUACGAUCAGUAACUGGUGUGAGAGCACGACCAGUCACACGGGCACUGAGACACGGGCCCGACUCCUACGGGAGGCAGCAGUACGGAUAUGGCAUGGACGCAAGUCUGACCAGCCAUGCCGCGUGGAGGAUGAAGGUCCUCGUGGAUUAGUAACUUUCUUUUAGUCGUAGGAAGUAAUCCUAUUAUUUUCUAUGUGUUGACGGUACCAGAUAAGAGACACGUCGUACU